This 73-nucleotide microRNA precursor is filed under the name Marmota marmota marmota (Alpine marmot). RNAcentral's name for it is "miRNA (ENSMMMG00000012826.1)". It matches the Rfam family "mir-146 microRNA precursor family", at positions 8 to 83 of the family's 90-position model. Lineage: Eukaryota; Metazoa; Chordata; Mammalia; Rodentia; Sciuridae. The record is from RNAcentral.
CUCAGCUUUGAGAACUGAAUUCCAUGGGUUGUGUCAGUGUCAGACCUGUGAAAUUCAGUUCUUCAGCUGGGAU